AACGAACGCUGGCGGCAUGCCUAACACAUGCAAGUCGAACGAGACCUUCGGGUCUAGUGGCGCACGGGUUCGUAACGCGUGGGAACCUGCCCUUAUGUUCGGAAUAACUCCCCGAAAGGGGUGCUAAUACCGGAUAAUGUCUUCGGACCAAAGAUUUAUCGCCUUUGGAUGGGCCCGCGUUGGAUUAGCUAGUUGGUAGGGUAAAAGCCUACCAAGGCGACGAUCCAUAGCUGGUCUGAGAGGAUGAUCAGCCACACUGGGACUGAGACACGGCCCAGACUCCUAGGGGAGGCAGCAGUGGGGAAUAUUGGACAAUGGGCGAAAGCCUGAUCCAGCAAUGCCGCGUGAGUGAUGAAGGCCUUAGGGUUGUAAAGCUCUUUUACCCGGGAUGAUAAUGACAGUACCGGGAGAAGAAGCUCCGGCUAACUCCGUG
This 433-nucleotide ribosomal RNA is filed under the name uncultured bacterium. Its description in RNAcentral is "partial 16S ribosomal RNA". It matches the Rfam family "Bacterial small subunit ribosomal RNA", at positions 29 to 507 of the family's 1533-position model. The record is from RNAcentral.